RNAcentral lists this long non-coding RNA (234 nucleotides) under Setaria viridis. RNAcentral describes it as "long non-coding RNA (SVIR_LNC004855)". Lineage: Eukaryota; Viridiplantae; Streptophyta; Magnoliopsida; Poales; Poaceae. The record is from RNAcentral.
GGGAGUCCGAUAGCGAUAAAACUUGGAUCCUUGUGUAGGAUUAACCCCACUCAAUGAUUCGAUUAUUAAAGAAAAGCUUUACGAAAACUUGUUUGAAAAUGAGCCUAUGCAUGUGUUGGAAAUUUAGCUUUGCCGUAAAUGAACCCUAGCCUAUCCUUGAUAUACCCUGUGCAUAUAUUUGCUUGUAUCCCCCUCCGUGGAUGGGGUUGGACUUAUUGAGUAUGUUCGUACUCA